This 253-nucleotide ribosomal RNA is filed under the name uncultured bacterium. RNAcentral's name for it is "partial 16S ribosomal RNA". It matches the Rfam family "Bacterial small subunit ribosomal RNA", at positions 524 to 776 of the family's 1533-position model. The record is from RNAcentral.
GACGUAGGGUGCAAGCGUUGUCCGGAUUUAUUGGGCGUAAAGAGCUCGUAGGCGGCUUGUUGCGUCGACUGUGAAAACCCGCGGCUUAACCGCGGGCUUGCAGUUGAUACGGGCAGGCUAGAGUUCGGUAGGGGAGACUGGAAUUCCUGGUGUAGCGGUGAAAUGCGCAGAUAUCGGGAGGAACACCGGUGGCGAAGGCGGUUCUCUGGGCCUUACCUGACGCUGAGGAGCGAAAGCGUGGGGAGCGAACAGG